RNAcentral lists this ribosomal RNA (468 nucleotides) under uncultured bacterium. RNAcentral describes it as "partial 16S ribosomal RNA". It matches the Rfam family "Bacterial small subunit ribosomal RNA", at positions 28 to 507 of the family's 1533-position model. The record is from RNAcentral.
GACGAACGCUGGCGGCGUGCUUAACACAUGCAAGUCGAACGGAAAGGCCCUGCUUUUGUGGGGUGCUCGAGUGGCGAACGGGUGAGUAACACGUGAGUAACCUGCCCUUGACUUUGGGAUAACUUCAGGAAACUGGGGCUAAUACCGGAUAGGAGCCCCUGCUGCAUGGUGGGGGUUGGAAAGUUUCGGCGGUUGGGGAUGGACUCGCGGCUUAUCAGCUUGUUGGUGGGGUAGUGGCUUACCAAGGCUUUGACGGGUAGCCGGCCUGAGAGGGUGACCGGCCACAUUGGGACUGAGAUACGGCCCAGACUCCUACGGGAGGCAGCAGUGGGGAAUAUUGCACAAUGGGCGGAAGCCUGAUGCAGCAACGCCGCGUGCGGGAUGACGGCCUUCGGGUUGUAAACCGCUUUCGCCUGUGACGAAGCGUGAGUGACGGUAAUGGGUAAAGAAGCUCCGGCUAACUACGUU